RNAcentral lists this small RNA (162 nucleotides) under Chelonoidis abingdonii (Abingdon island giant tortoise). Its description in RNAcentral is "TUC338 (ENSCABG00000015643.1)". Lineage: Eukaryota; Metazoa; Chordata; Testudines; Testudinidae. The record is from RNAcentral.
CUGACAGCCUUAGAGUCUGAAAUUAUUUGUCUACAGAACAGGUGCAGCACAGGCAGCAGCCACUCAAGCAUCCCUACAAUGGCUUAUGUGCCCUUGGCCUGUAGGGACUCUAGAGGUGAGGAUGAUAGCUCCUUCUUCCUACCCAUUUAGUGCUUCACUUCU